RNAcentral lists this ribosomal RNA (301 nucleotides) under uncultured bacterium. RNAcentral's name for it is "partial 16S ribosomal RNA". It matches the Rfam family "Bacterial small subunit ribosomal RNA", at positions 509 to 807 of the family's 1533-position model. The record is from RNAcentral.
CAGUCGCCGCGGUAAUACGAAGGGUGCAAGCGUUAAUCGGAAUUACUGGGCGUAAAGCGUGCGUAGGCGGUGAGUUAAGUCUGCUGUGAAAUCCCCGGGCUCAACCUGGGAAUGGCAGUGGAUACUGGCUCGCUUGAGUGCGUCAGAGGAUGGUGGAAUUCCCGGUGUAGCGGUGAAAUGCGUAGAGAUCGGGAGGAACAUCAGUGGCGAAGGCGGCCAUCUGGGACAACACUGACGCUGAGGCACGAAAGCGUGGGGAGCAAACAGGAUUAGAUACCCCCGUAGUCCCUGUCUCUUAUAC